AACCUGCCCAAGAGAUCGGGAUAACACCUGGAAACAGAUGCUAAUACCGGAUAACAACAGAUGAUGCCUAUCAACUGUUUAAAAGAUGGUUCUGCUAUCACUCUUGGAUGGACCUGCGGUGCAUUAGCUAGUUGGUAGGGUAACGGCCUACCAAGGCGAUGACGCAUAGCCGAGUUGAGAGACUGAUCGGCCACAUUGGGACUGAGACACGGCCCAAACUCCUACGGGAGGCAGCAG
This 237-nucleotide ribosomal RNA is filed under the name uncultured Lactobacillus sp. RNAcentral's name for it is "partial 16S ribosomal RNA". It matches the Rfam family "Bacterial small subunit ribosomal RNA", at positions 123 to 354 of the family's 1533-position model. Lineage: Bacteria; Bacillati; Bacillota; Bacilli; Lactobacillales; Lactobacillaceae. The record is from RNAcentral.